UUGCAGAUCAAAGCUGAUAUUUCCAUUGUCUCUCUAGUAUGAAUUUAUAGUUUAGACAAACACAGAGACACAGAAAGGAAACAGCAAAACAAAAAGUCAGCAUCUUUUCCUCUCGUCAGGCAUGGAACUGGUCGAUAAGGUCCAGAGCUCUCAAUCUGGUCCCAAGAGGGUCAAAAGCCCCUUUGAUUGUUGUUCCGUCGACGUAUCCAUCAUCGGCGGCGGAAGAAGG
Molecule: long non-coding RNA, 229 nt
Filed under: Linum usitatissimum (flax)
Lineage: Eukaryota; Viridiplantae; Streptophyta; Magnoliopsida; Malpighiales; Linaceae
Description: long non-coding RNA (LUSI_LNC000338)
Source: RNAcentral